AAAUUGAAGAGUUUGAUCAUGGCUCAGAUUGAACGCUGGCGGCAGGCCUAACACAUGCAAGUCGAACGGUAACAGGAAACAGCUUGCUGUUUCGCUGACGAGUGGCGGACGGGUGAGUAAUGUCUGGGAAACUGCCUGAUGGAGGGGGAUAACUACUGGAAACGGUAGCUAAUACCGCAUAAUGUCGCAAGACCAAAGAGGGGGACCUUCGGGCCUCUUGCCAUCGGAUGUGCCCAGAUGGGAUUAGCUAGUAGGUGGGGUAACGGCUCACCUAGGCGACGAUCCCUAGCUGGUCUGAGAGGAUGACCAGCCACACUGGAACUGAGACACGGUCCAGACUCCUACGGGAGGCAGCAGUGGGGAAUAUUGCACAAUGGGCGCAAGCCUGAUGCAGCCAUGCCGCGUGUAUGAAGAAGGCCUUCGGGUUGUAAAGUACUUUCAGCGGGGAGGAAGGGAGUAAAGUUAAUACCUUUGCUCAUUGACGUUACCCGCAGAAGAAGCACCGGCUAACUCCGUGCCAGCAGCCGCGGUAAUACGGAGGGUGCAAGCGUUAAUCGGAAUUACUGGGCGUAAAGCGCACGCAGGCGGUUUGUUAAGUCAGAUGUGAAAUCCCCGGGCUCAACCUGGGAACUGCAUCUGAUACUGGCAAGCUUGAGUCUCGUAGAGGGGGGUAGAAUUCCAGGUGUAGCGGUGAAAUGCGUAGAGAUCUGGAGGAAUACCGGUGGCGAAGGCGGCCCCCUGGACGAAGACUGACGCUCAGGUGCGAAAGCGUGGGGAGCAAACAGGAUUAGAUACCCUGGUAGUCCACGCCGUAAACGAUGUCGACUUGGAGGUUGUGCCCUUGAGGCGUGGCUUCCGGAGCUAACGCGUUAAGUCGACCGCCUGGGGAGUACGGCCGCAAGGUUAAAACUCAAAUGAAUUGACGGGGGCCCGCACAAGCGGUGGAGCAUGUGGUUUAAUUCGAUGCAACGCGAAGAACCUUACCUGGUCUUGACAUCCACAGAACUUUCCAGAGAUGGAUUGGUGCCUUCGGGAACUGUGAGACAGGUGCUGCAUGGCUGUCGUCAGCUCGUGUUGUGAAAUGUUGGGUUAAGUCCCGCAACGAGCGCAACCCUUAUCCUUUGUUGCCAGCGGUCCGGCCGGGAACUCAAAGGAGACUGCCAGUGAUAAACUGGAGGAAGGUGGGGAUGACGUCAAGUCAUCAUGGCCCUUACGACCAGGGCUACACACGUGCUACAAUGGCGCAUACAAAGAGAAGCGACCUCGCGAGAGCAAGCGGACCUCAUAAAGUGCGUCGUAGUCCGGAUUGGAGUCUGCAACUCGACUCCAUGAAGUCGGAAUCGCUAGUAAUCGUGGAUCAGAAUGCCACGGUGAAUACGUUCCCGGGCCUUGUACACACCGCCCGUCACACCAUGGGAGUGGGUUGCAAAAGAAGUAGGUAGCUUAACCUUCGGGAGGGCGCUUACCACUUUGUGAUUCAUGACUGGGGUGAAGUCGUAACAAGGUAACCGUAGGGGAACCUGCGGUUGGAUCACCUCCUUA
RNAcentral lists this ribosomal RNA (1542 nucleotides) under Escherichia coli. Its description in RNAcentral is "bacterial SSU rRNA". It matches the Rfam family "Bacterial small subunit ribosomal RNA". The record is from RNAcentral. Lineage: Bacteria; Pseudomonadati; Pseudomonadota; Gammaproteobacteria; Enterobacterales; Enterobacteriaceae. RNAcentral also lists the same sequence under 1 other name.